This 208-nucleotide ribosomal RNA is filed under the name uncultured microorganism. Its description in RNAcentral is "partial 16S ribosomal RNA". It matches the Rfam family "Bacterial small subunit ribosomal RNA", at positions 9 to 214 of the family's 1533-position model. The record is from RNAcentral.
GAGUUUGAUCGUGGCUCAGAUUGAACGCUGGCGGCAUGCCUUACACAUGCAAGUCGGAACGGCAGCAUGAUCUAGCUUGCUAGAUUGAUGGCGAGUGGCGAACGGGUGAGUAAUACAUCGGAACGUGCCCUGGUAGUGGGGGGUAACUAGUCGAAAGAUUAGCUAAUACCGCAUACGACCUGAGGUGAAAGUGGGGGACCGCAAGGCC